This 1508-nucleotide ribosomal RNA is filed under the name Helicobacter pylori SS1. Its description in RNAcentral is "bacterial SSU rRNA". It matches the Rfam family "Bacterial small subunit ribosomal RNA". Lineage: Bacteria; Pseudomonadati; Campylobacterota; Epsilonproteobacteria; Campylobacterales; Helicobacteraceae. RNAcentral also lists the same sequence under 2 other names. The record is from RNAcentral.
UUUUAUGGAGAGUUUGAUCCUGGCUCAGAGUGAACGCUGGCGGCGUGCCUAAUACAUGCAAGUCGAACGAUGAAGCUUCUAGCUUGCUAGAGUGCUGAUUAGUGGCGCACGGGUGAGUAACGCAUAGGUUAUGUGCCUCUUAGUUUGGGAUAGCCAUUGGAAACGAUGAUUAAUACCAGAUACUCCCUACGGGGGAAAGAUUUAUCGCUAAGAGAUCAGCCUAUGUCCUAUCAGCUUGUUGGUAAGGUAAUGGCUUACCAAGGCUAUGACGGGUAUCCGGCCUGAGAGGGUGAACGGACACACUGGAACUGAGACACGGUCCAGACUCCUACGGGAGGCAGCAGUAGGGAAUAUUGCUCAAUGGGGGAAACCCUGAAGCAGCAACGCCGCGUGGAGGAUGAAGGUUUUAGGAUUGUAAACUCCUUUUGUUAGAGAAGAUAAUGACGGUAUCUAACGAAUAAGCACCGGCUAACUCCGUGCCAGCAGCCGCGGUAAUACGGAGGGUGCAAGCGUUACUCGGAAUCACUGGGCGUAAAGAGCGCGUAGGCGGGAUAGUCAGUCAGGUGUGAAAUCCUAUGGCUUAACCAUAGAACUGCAUUUGAAACUACUAUUCUAGAGUGUGGGAGAGGUAGGUGGAAUUCUUGGUGUAGGGGUAAAAUCCGUAGAGAUCAAGAGGAAUACUCAUUGCGAAGGCGACCUGCUGGAACAUUACUGACGCUGAUUGCGCGAAAGCGUGGGGAGCAAACAGGAUUAGAUACCCUGGUAGUCCACGCCCUAAACGAUGGAUGCUAGUUGUUGGAGGGCUUAGUCUCUCCAGUAAUGCAGCUAACGCAUUAAGCAUCCCGCCUGGGGAGUACGGUCGCAAGAUUAAAACUCAAAGGAAUAGACGGGGACCCGCACAAGCGGUGGAGCAUGUGGUUUAAUUCGAAGAUACACGAAGAACCUUACCUAGGCUUGACAUUGAGAGAAUCCGCUAGAAAUAGUGGAGUGUCUGGCUUGCUAGACCUUGAAAACAGGUGCUGCACGGCUGUCGUCAGCUCGUGUCGUGAGAUGUUGGGUUAAGUCCCGCAACGAGCGCAACCCCCUUUCUUAGUUGCUAACAGGUCAUGCUGAGAACUCUAAGGAUACUGCCUCCGUAAGGAGGAGGAAGGUGGGGACGACGUCAAGUCAUCAUGGCCCUUACGCCUAGGGCUACACACGUGCUACAAUGGGGUGCACAAAGAGAAGCAAUACUGCGAAGUGGAGCCAAUCUUCAAAACACCUCUCAGUUCGGAUUGUAGGCUGCAACUCGCCUGCAUGAAGCUGGAAUCGCUAGUAAUCGCAAAUCAGCCAUGUUGCGGUGAAUACGUUCCCGGGUCUUGUACUCACCGCCCGUCACACCAUGGGAGUUGUGUUUGCCUUAAGUCAGGAUGCUAAAUUAGCUACUGCCCACGGCACACACAGCGACUGGGGUGAAGUCGUAACAAGGUAACCGUAGGUGAACCUGCGGUUGGAUCACCUCCUUUCUA